GAAUCCAAAGGAAUAUUUCUCUCUCUAGCUGAACUUAGUAGCUGUGUGCAAGCUGAAGGAAAAGUUUAUUUCCUCCUUGCAAUUGCCUUGAGUAUUCAAUUACCAGCCUGCAGGUCUGCAAAGGGGUUUUGAUCAAGUCCUUUCAACCCCUACAGUUCUGUGAUUCUGUGAUUCUGUGAUCUCAUAGAGAAGUUCAUAAAUGAAACCAAAUAAGAUCUAUUGGGCUAAAUUGUCAUCUAAGGUAUUAGUAAGAUUUAUUAUAAUGUAUGUCCAAUGAAAGGAUUAAUUGCCCAUGGGCAAUUAACUUACUACUAGUAAGUUGCACAGCACAAGGCUGUCUAAUCAUAGUAAUUCUCUCAACUACUAAGACUGAACAUUACUCCCUCUGCAUUCCUUCUUACAGGCUGAGGCAUAGCAAUGCUUUGUACUUCUCCAGACUUCACCAAUUCUUUUGUGACCAUGACUACAUACCACAGAAGCAACAAGGCCAUUCUUGUACACAAGUGUUUAAAUUAAACUGGAUGUGUCAGAAAAACAAACAAACAAUUCUAUGUGUGACAUUUUAUGACUUUCUACCAGUUUUGUUAUGCAGGAAAUAGAUUUCAUUAUAUUAAUGCCCGUCAGUCCUAAGAUUUCUGACAGAUGGUAUCUUUUCAAAUUCUUUUCGGAUUUCCCAAUCAUGCUAAGUUUCUUUUUUUUUUUUUUUAUUUUUUCCCUUUUUUUUAAAAUCCUUUUAAAAGGUCCAAUUUACAAACAAUAAACAAAUAACUAGUCUUUUCCA
Molecule: long non-coding RNA, 781 nt
Filed under: Anas platyrhynchos platyrhynchos (common mallard)
Lineage: Eukaryota; Metazoa; Chordata; Aves; Anseriformes; Anatidae
Description: lncRNA (ENSAPLG00000020266.1)
Source: RNAcentral